This 468-nucleotide ribosomal RNA is filed under the name uncultured bacterium. Its description in RNAcentral is "partial 16S ribosomal RNA". The stretch from base 20 to 322 matches the Rfam family "Bacterial small subunit ribosomal RNA", at positions 47 to 358 of the family's 1533-position model. The record is from RNAcentral.
GACGAACGCUGGCGGCGUGCUUAACACAUGCAAGUCGAACGGAAAGGCCCUGCUUUUGUGGGGUGCUCGAGUGGCGAACGGGUGAGUAACACGUGAGUAACCUGCCCUUUACUUUGGGAUAACUUCAUGAAACUGGGGCUAAUACCGGAUAGGAGCUCCUGCUGCAUGGUGGGGGUUGGAAAGUUUCGGCGGUUGGGGAUGGACUCGGGGCUUAUCAGCUUGUUGGUGGGGUAGUGGCUUACCAAGGCUUUGACGGGUAGCCGGCCUGAGAGGGUGACCGGCAACAUAGGGAUAGGGAAGGGACCAGGAGGAAGGCGGGGGGAAGAGGGGGAGAAGUGGGCAAAGGGGGCGGAGGCAGGGAAGAGAAACGCCGGGGGGGAAAAGGCGGCCGGGGGUGAGAAACCGGGGUUGGCGUGGAAAGAAGAGGAAGUGAAGGUAAGGGAAAAAAAAGCACCGGCUAACUACGUG